AACGCACAUUGCGCCCGCCAGCACUCUGGCGGGCAUGCCUGUUCGAGCGUCAUUUCAACCCUCAAGCCCAGCUUGGUGUUGGGGCGCCACGGAGCUUCGGCGCCGUGAGCCCUGAAAGUCAGUGGCGGACUCGCUGUGUGUCCGGGCGUAGUAGUAAUAUGUCGCCUGUGGACGCCCUGCGGGCUCCUGCCGUAAAACGCUUCUAACCAGAACGUUGACCUCGGAUCAGGUAGGAAUACCCGCUGAACUUAA
This 252-nucleotide unclassified non-coding RNA is filed under the name uncultured fungus. Its description in RNAcentral is "partial contains 5.8S ribosomal RNA, internal transcribed spacer 2, and large subunit ribosomal RNA". Lineage: Eukaryota; Fungi. The record is from RNAcentral.